RNAcentral lists this long non-coding RNA (1464 nucleotides) under Homo sapiens (human). Its description in RNAcentral is "HSALNT0018126". The record is from RNAcentral. Lineage: Eukaryota; Metazoa; Chordata; Mammalia; Primates; Hominidae.
GGAGAAUUGCUUGAACCCGGGAGGCGGAGGUUGCAGUGAGCUGAGAUUGUGCUGCUGCACUCCAGCCUGGGAGACAGAGCGAGACUCUGUCUUAAAAAAAAAAAAAGGAGGUGAAUUUUUUUUUAAGUUUUGUAACACUGUCCUACUUUAUUUAUUAGAAUCUAAGGCUGUUACAAUCAAGUCGUUGCAGGGUUUGGAUCAGCUGUAAGUUAGGUAUGCCUACCAAACAUCCAAAGGUAGACGUGGAGACAUUUUAAUACUACAAAACUAGGAAAAUCAGAACUCAUGGCCAUUUCCUGCCCUCCUCCAACUUGUUAAAACAUGUUUAUUCUAAAGUUCGAAUGGAUAAAUUUGAGUAUAAAGGUUUUGUUAUAAAACUGUUCUUUAGUGUAAGGCUGCAUUGUGGGUUUGGGGGAAAUGUAAAUAAUUUUCUGUGUAAAACAAAUUCAUAGGAUCUGAUUUGCUCAGAGUAUUAUUCAAGAAUGUAUUAAUAAGGCAUUGCCCCCUGUUUGCACUCAGGGUUAAUAUGUCAAAUGAAAUUUAAGAAGGAAAUGGAAGAAUUCAGGUACAUUAAUUGCAUAUUAUUUUGGGAAAGAUGAGUCCUAUACGUGGCAAUUUUUCAAUGUCAUCUGAAGCCAGCAUUAUCUUCCAAAGAAAUCGAUCUUUUUUUUCUAAAAAAAAAAAAUGCUUUUGCCUUCCCUUCCCUUCCCAUCCGCCAUAUUUCUUCAGCCUUUCUUCUCGAUCACCCGUGUAUUCUUUGACCAGUAAAUGACCACACCUCAAUGAUGGUAAAACAGCAUCAUCAGUAAGCUAUCUUAUAUGCCUCAUCCUGUGAGUUUGAGCUUCAGGAAACAUGAGUAAAAGUAUAUGUAAUGUAUAUAGUCGUAUAUGUAUUCUAGCAAGAAAAACAUAUUUAUUUUGACAAAGGGGAACACUGACUUUCUGAAGGAUUCAGAAAGAACCUUAGUGAAAGGUUCUCAGUCUCUGAGAGUGGACCCUAAUUAACAUAAAGACCAUUCAUCAGCGAAUAACUACUGAGCAACUCUAGUGUGCCAGCACAGGCCAGACAUACUAGUGAGCCAGGCACAUCUGGCCUUGGGAAACUCAUCCUACAGGGGAAGGCCAGUUUUUUUCCCUUCAAUUCCUCAAGUCUGGGUGGUGACAAGGUAGGGGCUAGGUACUGGACUACCACAGGUUUUUAGGAACUAAGGUGUUUCUCAUAAACACAAAAUGUUGGGUGAAACUGGGAACAACUACUCAGAAGCUCAUUUAUUUGCUUAAAUGGAAAGUGUGGGAGCCACUACCCUCUCUUUUGAUCUGCCAAGGAUUUCCUCUCAGAGCUGUUGCACAGACAGAGAUUGUACUUGGUAAGAUACCAAACAAGACAGAUAUGGAUCUAAAUUUCUAAUGUGUUCUAUGGGUUUCAAUUCUGAAAAAAGAAAAUGAAUAAAGAUUUUAAUAAAU